RNAcentral lists this ribosomal RNA (304 nucleotides) under uncultured Peredibacter sp. Its description in RNAcentral is "bacterial SSU rRNA". It matches the Rfam family "Bacterial small subunit ribosomal RNA", at positions 1033 to 1340 of the family's 1533-position model. The record is from RNAcentral. Lineage: Bacteria; Pseudomonadati; Bdellovibrionota; Bacteriovoracia; Bacteriovoracales; Bacteriovoracaceae.
GAGAGGUGCUGCAUGGCUGUCGUCAGCUCGUGUUGUGAAAUGUUGGGUUAAGUCUCGCAACGAGCGCAACCCCUAUCGUCUGUUGCCAGCAUUAAGUUGGGCACUCUGACGAGACUGCCUGGGUUAACCAGGAGGAAGGUGGGGAUGACGUCAAGUCCUCAUGGCCCUUAUGUCUAGGGCUACACGUAAUACAAUGGCGCGUACAAAGGGAAGCGAACUCGCAAGGGGGAGCAAAUCUCAAAAAGCGCGUCUCAGUCCGGAUUGGAGUCUGCAACUCGACUCCAUGAAGUUGGAAUCGCUAGUA